CCUACGGGUGGCAGCAGUGGGGAAUAUUGGACAAUGGGGGAAACCCUGAUCCAGCGACGCCGCGUGAGUGAAGAAGUAUUUCGGUACGUAAAGCUCUAUCAGCAGGAAAGAAAAUGACGGUACCUGGCUAAGAAGCACCGGCUAACUACGUGCCAGCAGCCGCGGUAAUAAGUAGGGGGCAAGCGUUAUCCGGAUUUACUGGGUGUAAAGGGAGCGUAGACGGCAGCGCAAGUCUGGAAUGAAAUGCCGGGGGCCAACCCCGGAACUGCUCUGGAAACUGUGAAGCUUGAGUGCAGGAGAGGUGAGCGGAAUUCCUGGUGUAGCGGUGAAAUGCGUAGAUAUCAGGAGGAACACCGGCGGCGAAGGCGGCUUACUGGACUGUAACUGACGUUGAGGCUCGAAGGCGUGGGGAGCAAACAGGAUUAGAUACCCUGGUAGUC
Molecule: ribosomal RNA, 440 nt
Filed under: uncultured bacterium
Lineage: Bacteria
Description: partial 16S ribosomal RNA
Rfam family: Bacterial small subunit ribosomal RNA
Source: RNAcentral